RNAcentral lists this ribosomal RNA (433 nucleotides) under uncultured bacterium. Its description in RNAcentral is "bacterial SSU rRNA". It matches the Rfam family "Bacterial small subunit ribosomal RNA", at positions 355 to 786 of the family's 1533-position model. The record is from RNAcentral.
UGAGGAAUAUUGGUCAAUGGGCGGGAGCCUGAACCAGCCAAGCCGCGUGAGGGAGGAAGGCCCUAUGGGUCGUAAACCUCUUUUGUCAGGGAACAAAAGCGAGUAUGUAUACUAGUCUGAGUGUACCUGAAGAAAAACGCAUCGGCUAACUCCGUGCCAGCAGCCGCGGUAAUACGGAGGAUGCGAGCGUUAUCCGGAUUUAUUGGGUUUAAAGGGUGCGUAGGCGGCGGUGCAAGUCAGCGGUAAAAGCCCGGGGCUCAACCCCGGCGAGCCGUUGAACUGCAGUGCUAGAGAAGGCGAGAGGUACGCGGAAUGCGCAGUGUAGCGGUGAAAUGCUUAGAUAUUGCGCAGAACUCCGAUUGCGAAGGCAGCGUACUGGCGCCUGACUGACGCUGAGGCACGAAAGCGUGGGGAUCGAACAGGAUUAGAUACC